Molecule: ribosomal RNA, 460 nt
Filed under: uncultured bacterium
Lineage: Bacteria
Description: partial 16S ribosomal RNA
Rfam family: Bacterial small subunit ribosomal RNA
Source: RNAcentral
CCUACGGGAGGCAGCAGUGAGGAAUGUUGGUCAAUGGACGAGAGUCUGAACCAGCCAAGUAGCGUGAAGGAUGACUGCCCUAUGGGUUGUAAACUUCUUUUAUAUGGGAAUAAAACGUUCCACGUGUGGGAUUUUGUAUGUACCAUAUGAAUAAGGAUCGGCUAACUCCGUGCCAGCAGCCGCGGUAAUACGGAGGAUCCGAGCGUUAUCCGGAUUUAUUGGGUUUAAAGGGAGCGUAGGUGGAUUGUUAAGUCAGUUGUGAAAGUUUGCGGCUCAACCGUAAAAUUGCAGUUGAAACUGGCAGUCUUGAGUACAGUAGAGGUGGGCGGAAUUCGUGGUGUAGCGGUGAAAUGCUUAGAUAUCACGAAGAACUCCGAUUGCGAAGGCAGUUCACUGGACUGCAACUGACACUGAGGCUCGAAAGUGUGGGUAUCAAACAGGAUUAGAUACCCCAGUAGUC